Molecule: unclassified non-coding RNA, 400 nt
Filed under: Hevea brasiliensis (rubber tree)
Lineage: Eukaryota; Viridiplantae; Streptophyta; Magnoliopsida; Malpighiales; Euphorbiaceae
Source: RNAcentral
AGUAUGUCAGCUUCCAGUCAAUAGACAUUCGCAUCCACUUUUGCUGGAAUCAGAAUUCUUGAGAUAUCAAGAACCCACAAAAAAAAAGAAAGAAAAUAUCAAGACUUAAAUUGAUUAGGCCUACAUAUUCACUUUCCCAAUUAAGCCAUUAUAUUAUAUCAAAGCUGACGAGGUGGCACAUGGGUGAGGUAGAGUUUGGAUCGAAUUAUUUUGAGUUGUAGGUUUACUCGGAUAUUUCAACGAAUUGAUAUGAGAAAAUUUGGAUUAAUUUGUUAAUUGUGGUUGUUCUGUGUUAAAUAUUAAUUUUUGUAAAAAAAAUUAAUUUUAUUUAUUUAUUUUUCAUAUAAAUAUUUAGAUUGAUCAUGUCAAUCAAAUUAGUUAGGUAAUCCAUGAAUUGUAA